GUCUUUUUGAAAUUAAUUUAAAGUCUAACCUGCCCAAUGAUAAAUUUAAUGGCCGCAGUAUAUUGACUGUGCAAAGGUAGCAUAAUCAUUAGUUUUUUAAUUAAAAGCUGGAAUGAAUGGUUGGAUAAGAAAAAUACUGUCUCAAUUUAAUAAAAUUAAAAUUUUAUUUUUAAGUUAAAAAGCUUAAAUAUUAUUAAAAGACGAGAAGACCCUAUAGAGUUUGAUAUAAAAAAGAUUUAUAUUAUAUUAGAAUUUUAAUUUUGUAUUUUUAUUUUAUAUUUGGUUGGGGUGAUUAUAAAAUUUAAUAAACUUUUAUUUUAUAAAUACAUAAAUAAGUGAAUUUUUGAUCCUUUAUUAAGAUUACAAGAAAAAAUUACCUUAGGGAUAACAGCGUAAUAUUUUUUUAGAGUUCAAAUCGAAAAAAGAGAUUGCGACCUCGAUGUUGGAUUAAAAUUAAUAGUUGGUGUAGAAGCUAAUAUAUUAGGUCUGUUCGACCUUUAAAAUUUUACA
Molecule: ribosomal RNA, 510 nt
Filed under: Philothermopsis sp. PNG
Lineage: Eukaryota; Metazoa; Arthropoda; Insecta; Coleoptera; Cerylonidae
Description: partial 16S ribosomal RNA
Rfam family: Archaeal large subunit ribosomal RNA (bases 384-510)
Source: RNAcentral